RNAcentral lists this unclassified non-coding RNA (336 nucleotides) under soil metagenome. RNAcentral describes it as "partial contains 5.8S ribosomal RNA, internal transcribed spacer 2, and large subunit ribosomal RNA". The stretch from base 1 to 120 matches the Rfam family "5.8S ribosomal RNA", at positions 35 to 154 of the family's 154-position model. The record is from RNAcentral.
GAUGAAGAACGUAGUGAAAUGCGAUACGUAAUGUGAAUUGCAGAAUUCAGUGAAUCAUCGAAUCUUUGAACGCACAUUGCGCCCCUUGGUAUUCCAUGGGGCAUGCCUGUUCGAGCGUCAUUUGUACCUUCAAGCUUUGCUUGGUGUUGGGUGUUUGUCUCGCCUUUGCGUGUAGACUCGCCUUAAAAUAAUUGGCAGCCGGCGUAUUGAUUUCGGAGCGCAGUACAUCUCGCGCUUUGCACUCAUAACGACAGCGUCCAAAAGUACAUUUUACACUCUUGACCUCGGAUCAGGUAGGGAUACCCGCUGAACUUAAGCAUAUCAAUAAGCGGAGGA